RNAcentral lists this ribosomal RNA (253 nucleotides) under Roseburia faecis M72/1. RNAcentral's name for it is "partial 16S ribosomal RNA". It matches the Rfam family "Bacterial small subunit ribosomal RNA", at positions 524 to 776 of the family's 1533-position model. The record is from RNAcentral. Lineage: Bacteria; Bacillati; Bacillota; Clostridia; Lachnospirales; Lachnospiraceae.
UACGUAUGGUGCAAGCGUUAUCCGGAUUUACUGGGUGUAAAGGGAGCGCAGGCAGUGCGGCAAGUCUGAUGUGAAAGCCCGGGGCUCAACCCCGGUACUGCAUUGGAAACUGUCGUACUAGAGUGUCGGAGGGGUAAGCGGAAUUCCUAGUGUAGCGGUGAAAUGCGUAGAUAUUAGGAGGAACACCAGUGGCGAAGGCGGCUUACUGGACGAUAACUGACGCUGAGGCUCGAAAGCGUGGGGAGCAAACAGG